RNAcentral lists this ribosomal RNA (460 nucleotides) under uncultured bacterium. RNAcentral describes it as "partial 16S ribosomal RNA". It matches the Rfam family "Bacterial small subunit ribosomal RNA", at positions 338 to 795 of the family's 1533-position model. The record is from RNAcentral.
CCUACGGGAGGCAGCAGUGAGGAAUAUUGGUCAAUGGCCGGAAGGCUGAACCAGCCAUGCCGCGUGAAGGUCAGUGCCCUAUGGGCGUUAAACUUCUUUUGUGCGGGAGCAAUAAUGGUCACGUGUGGCCAGACGAGAGUACCGUACGAAUAAGCAUCGGCUAACUCCGUGCCAGCAGCCGCGGGAAUACGGGGGAUGCAAGCGUUAUCCGGAUUUAUUGGGUUUUAAGUGUGCGUAGGCUGGGAGGUAAGUCAGCGGUGAAAUGCCGCCGCUCAACGGGGUGAAGUGCCAUUGAUACUGCCUUGCUUGAAUGCGGGUGACGUGGGAGGAAUGUGUGGUGUAGCGGUGAAAUGCAUAGAUAUCACACAGAACACCGAUUGCGAAGGCAUCUCACGAAUCCGCGAUUGACGCUGAUGCACGAAAGCGUGGGUAUCAAACAGGAUUAGAUACCCCUGUAGUC